Molecule: ribosomal RNA, 317 nt
Filed under: Patelloida striata
Lineage: Eukaryota; Metazoa; Mollusca; Gastropoda; Lottiidae
Description: partial 12S ribosomal RNA
Source: RNAcentral
GCACUAAUCCUACCAGGGGAACCUGGCCCUUAAUUCGAUGAUCCACGAUUGUUUUCUACCUGUCCUCGUUAGGUUUUGCCUUAGGCGGACCUAGGUCAGCUUGCAUACCGCCGUUGUUCAGCCUAUACCGCGAGGAGAAAAAAAUGGGCGGCGCAGGAGAUUUUAAGCUCCUACUAAUUCAGGUAAACGUGCAGCUUAUGGAGAGGGGCCGCUGGGUUACAUUAUGUGUUUUUGUGGAUCCUAAGUUAAGCGAAGGUGAAAGAGGACUUGGAAGUAAUGAUUGUCAAAAGAGUCGUGAAUAGAGCUCUAGUGUGUGU